UUUCUCUUCUCCCCAGCCACAAGCAAAAGGCAUUUUUCUUGCUUAUUUCUUCAGUUUCUCUCAAAAUUUCAACUAUCCACCUUAAAAUUUUGGUAAAAUCUCAACGAAGGCCACCUAUUGAACUUAUUUCCUCCAUCAAUCUCUUAAAUUUCAGUUAGGGUUUCAUGGGUUAUAGUGAGGGAAAGCUAUGACCAGUGAGACGAAGCUUUCAAUAAGGAAAUGAUGAUUUAAGGAUUUCCAAGUUUGAUUGGUGUUCAUGUAAGCAUGAUUAAGUGUUGUAGAGCAUCCAUUAAGGUAGGUUAGUAAGCUCAGGUAACUAUGAAUAAAUUAUUUAAUUAAGAUUUUAAUUAUGUUAAUAAUCAUGUGGAAGUCCAUGGCACAAUAUGUAACACCUCAAAAAUUUCAGCAUCGGAUUUUGUGUGAAUCGAGAUAAAUUCGGUAAAAGAUAUAAAUUUAUAAUAAAUUAAUUUUGAAAAUUUUUGGAUGAAUUGUUAAAAUAUAAUUUUGUUAGUAUUUCUUAUGUGUCAUGGACUUAUUUGGAAUUCUAGUAUAAUUUUGAGAUUAAAAUAAAUUCCGAUUUUAUUUUAGAGAUUAAAUUGAAAUUUCAAUAUUCAGAGGACUAAACUUGCAAUUAACUUUUCUUUCAUUUGUUUUAGAAUGUUGUGGCGCGUGUGUUGUAUUAUUAUUAUUAUUGGUGUUGUUGUUAUAUUUAAAUAGAUUUUGGAUUUUCUUAAUAUAAUGUGGUAUUAUAUUUCUAGAAUAAUUAAAAGUAGAACUAUUAAAAGCCCUUAAAUUUAUCAAAUUUCCUUUUAUUGUUUUUCAUAUAUGCUUUUCUAUAAAUGAUUUUAUGAAAUUAGGAUACCUUGAAAAUAGUAUCAUUUCUAAUAAUUUAAUGUUAUUUCACCUUUUUAUCUUGAAAAAAAUUAAAUUCAACAGAAAUUUAAAAUAAAAAUACUAAAAUAACAUUAAAUUAUUGAAAAUAGAUAUCUUAUGCAUUCCCUUGCUGCAAGCCACUAUUCUCCCAAAUUUCCGCCUUCAAUUGCCUUCAAUAUUCUUUUCUUCUCUUUCUGGCUUCCAAUUGCCUUACUUGAGCCGUCUGAGUUACCACCGUUUGCAAUCCAAUUAGUGCUGCCAAUUUUUGCUGCGUUGCCGCUCCAAAACCUUGCUACCUGCCGCCGACCUUACCCAAUACAACUGCUGCCAUCAAUUGUUAUGAUGUCGCCCAAGCUGUUGUUAUCAUGACCACUCUCUUGUUUGCUCCGUUUGCCAUAACAAAAAAAUGAAAAAGCAAUAAGGUGGUAUACUUUUUUCGGAUUGCUACAUCAUUGUCAAUCGAUUUGUUGCAUCCGUAUCAAAAUAAUUGCCGCAGUCUUGUUUCCAAUCUUAGCCGCUGUUUUGAUCUCCAAAUUCCCACUAAUUUUCGACCAAAAUUACCAUUAAAUUGCUGUUGCUUGGUACUGUCAUUAGCUUCUAUUACUUUAAUUGAUUUAAUUUAUUUCUGCCCACUAUUUGCUUUAACGUCAAGUUUCAUUGUUUUGGUUUUAGUAUUUUUAAGUAAUAAUUUUGCAUUAUUGGUAAUGGUUUUUAAAGGACGUUUUACUUCUCUUGUUGUGAUAUAUAUGUUCUUCUUUUAUUUUAAUUCUCAUAAUUUGAAUAUUAUUGAUUAAUGCUUUGAAUGAUAUUGAUUCAUAUUGUUCUAAAUUUUGAAUAACUAAGGUUAAUUUAUUUAGAUUAAGGUCAUGAUAUUUGUUUAUUUAGAUUUAAAUAAAUUUUAGGAUGGCAUAUUAUAUUAGAUUAAUUAUUAUAUGUAUUAAGAUUAAGUUGAAUUUGGUUUAGGUUAAGUAGAAGUUGAGUUGUAUCGGUACACUAGCUCCUUUGUAUCUGUAGAAGUUUCUCAAUCUUUGUAAAAAUGAUUUUAAUAGGAUAUUUUCCAAAGUGUUUUGAACAUUUAAACUCAUGAAAUAUAUUUGAAGACAUGUUGAACCAUUUUUUU
Molecule: long non-coding RNA, 1993 nt
Organism: Gossypium arboreum
Lineage: Eukaryota; Viridiplantae; Streptophyta; Magnoliopsida; Malvales; Malvaceae
Exons: 2
Source: RefSeq, a predicted model, not a curated record